UAGCGGAGGAAAAGAAACCAACAGGGAUUGCCUUAGUAACGGCGAGUGAAGCGGCAAAAGCUCAAAUUUGAAAUCUGGCACCUUCGGUGUCCGAGUUGUAAUUUGAAGAAGGUAACUUUGGAGUUGGCUCUUGUCUAUGUUCCUUGGAACAGGACGUCACAGAGGGUGAGAAUCCCGUGCGAUGAGAUGCCCAAUUCUAUGUAAAGUGCUUUCGAAGAGUCGAGUUGUUUGGGAAUGCAGCUCUAAGUGGGUGGUAAAUUCCAUCUAAAGCUAAAUAUUGGCGAGAGACCGAUAGCGAACAAGUACAGUGAUGGAAAGAUGAAAAGAACUUUGAAAAGAGAGUGAAAAAGUACGUGAAAUUGUUGAAAGGGAAGGGCUUGAGAUCAGACUUGGUAUUUUGCGAUCCUUUCCUUCUUGGUUGGGUUCCUCGCAGCUUACUGGGCCAGCAUCGGUUUGGAUGGUAGGAUAAUGACUAAGGAAUGUGGCUCUACUUCGGUGGAGUGUUAUAGCCUUGGUUGAUACUGCCUGUCUAGACCGAGGACUGCGUCUUUUGACUAGGAUGUUGGCAUAAUGAUCUUAAGCCACCCGUCUUGA
This 594-nucleotide ribosomal RNA is filed under the name Debaryomyces hansenii. RNAcentral's name for it is "LSU rRNA". It matches the Rfam family "Eukaryotic large subunit ribosomal RNA", at positions 48 to 657 of the family's 3401-position model. The record is from RNAcentral. Lineage: Eukaryota; Fungi; Ascomycota; Pichiomycetes; Serinales; Debaryomycetaceae.